AACGAGCACGUACUCGGCUCAAACGGGUGCAACUUGUCUGCCAAUUUUCAAAGUUUACCUGCAAGAAAAUUACACAUUACCGUGAUUCAUUCCGUGAUUAUUUUCACUCGGGAAUCGCUCUGCCACUAUGAGGGAGUCUACGCAAGGACA
Non-coding RNA from Caenorhabditis elegans, 150 nucleotides. NCBI's taxonomy places the organism in Eukaryota, Metazoa, Nematoda, Chromadorea, Rhabditida, Rhabditidae. The record is from Ensembl.